ACGAACGCUGGCGGCGUGCCUAAUACAUGCAAGUCGAACGCUUCUUUCCUCCCGAGUGCUUGCACUCAAUUGGAAAGAGGAGUGGCGGACGGGUGAGUAACACGUGGGUAACCUACCCAUCAGAGGGGGAUAACACUCGGAAACAGGUGCUAAUACCGCAUAACAGUUUAUGCCGCAUGGCAUAAGAGUGAAAGGCGCUUUCGGGUGUCGUUGAUGGAUGGACCCGCGGUGCAUUAGCUAGUUGGUGAGGUAACGGCUCACCAAGGCCACGAUGCAUAGCCGACCUGAGAGGAUGAUCGGCCACACUGGAACUGAGACACGGCCCAGACUCCUACGGGAGGCAGCAGUAGGGAAUCUUCGGCAAUGGACGAAAGUCUGACCGAGCAACGCCGCGUGAGUGAAGAAGGUUUUCGGAUCGUAAAACUCUGUUGUUAGGGAAGAACAAGGGCGUUAGUAACUGAACGUCCCCUGACGGUAACUAAACAGAAAGCCACGGCUAACUACGUG
RNAcentral lists this ribosomal RNA (507 nucleotides) under uncultured bacterium. RNAcentral's name for it is "partial 16S ribosomal RNA". It matches the Rfam family "Bacterial small subunit ribosomal RNA", at positions 29 to 507 of the family's 1533-position model. The record is from RNAcentral.